Long non-coding RNA from Carya illinoinensis, 2557 nucleotides. RefSeq lists it as uncharacterized. The record is from RefSeq and is a predicted model, not a curated record. The transcript is spliced from 2 exons. NCBI's taxonomy places the organism in Eukaryota, Viridiplantae, Streptophyta, Magnoliopsida, Fagales, Juglandaceae.
CUCCCUCCCGUCGCCCAGCACCCUCGAGCGUCGCCGUGUUUGUCGUCGCCCAACACCUGCGAGUCGUCGGCCUACCUCUACCCAUCGUCCCCCAACUUUCUUCCCCAUAGUCCAUUUCGAACAAGAGGGAGGGGUUCACAGGGACCACUCGUCGCCCAGCGCACCCUCCCUCCACCAGCGCCACCGUGCAACCCACCUCGAGUUGUUGUUGUCCCUCUCGUCACCCAGCACCUGCAAAUUGUUUGCCUCCCUUUGCUCAUCGCUGCCCAGCACCCGCGACUCAUACCUCUGUUUCGUCGUCCAUCUGCUCAGCAACAAGAGGUAACUCCACAUUAUUAAGUUCUUUGUACUGGUUUGAGGCAGAUUUUAUCUUUCAGAGAUGGGUGUUGGGCUUAGGGCAUGGAGAUAUAGAACUCCAUUUAUGCGUAUUGAUUAAAAUGUUAGUGAGUUGCAGAAAAUGCUUUCUUGAAGUUAAUGGUUGCUAGUGAUGAUCUUUGUUGGUUUGAAGUCUCGGUUAGCACAUUAUUUGUAAGUUGUUGAUAACUUGAGUGUUUGGGUAACAAUUGGUUGAGUACUUGAUAUUGGCUGUGCAACUAGAAAUCCUAAACAACUAUCUCGUCUGAAUGCUCUCUACCAAUUGCAUACCGUAGUUUAUGGUAUAUUUUCUCUUUAUAGGAGAGAUAUAAAUGCAUCUUUGAAUUUAUUUGAUUUUGAUAAACUGAAAAACCGAAUAGUGUUCUCCUUCUCUUUUGAUUUGGUGGGUUGGGGAAAACUAUGGCGUGACUGUUGUGCCGGUUCUCUUCUUUUGUGAAAACUGAGGUGAUGCUGCGGGUCAUUUUACAAAUUUAAAGGCACUGUAAAUAGCUUUAAAAUUGUGUCCAACAAUGGAAUUGAAUUGGAGAACUUCGUUUCACGACGGUUGCAAGUUCAUUUGGACUUGUGAUUAGUUUUAAGUUGGUACUUUCAUGCUCCAUUUGUGUGCUUGCUGAAAUAUAAUGACCUGUAUUGUUGGGUGGCUUACAGAGUACUUACACUACUUUGGAUUGGUUGAUCUUAGUCUCUUCUCAUGGCUUAAAAAUAAAAAGGGGGAAAAGAAAGGAAAUUUGUUGUACAGAUAUAGAUAUAGACACAUAGUGACAACAGUUCUAUCAGCAAGAUCUAAAACAUGAUCAGCAUUUACUUCCCAGCUAGUAAACCAUGUAAUUGCAUUCCUUCCUAGAUGAACCCAAGUGGAUAAGUAUUUUGUUGACUCGAGUGUUUGGGUAACAAUUAAUUGAGUUCUUUUAAGAUGAAAUGUCAAAAUCUACUUCGAUCUGGACAAAGGGAGGUGGAUGUCCUAUUUUAGGAUGCAAAUUUGUCAUCCAUACAUAUUCACAGAUUGGUUACGUACUGCAAGCAUGGUUUUUCCUGUUGAUAUUCUAACUUAUUCAAAUUACAGUGCUCUUGGGAAUCUGGCACAAAUUGAAGCAGCCAUCAAAGGAGGCUUUCAUGUGAAAUGGAAGGAAGAUAUUGCAGUUUGUUAUGCCUGCACCAAGUCUAAGGGAGUUUGUGGUUAUGAUGUGAACAAUAAAAAUAGAUGGAAACAAUUUAUACAUACAGUGGCAAUAUUACAGUAGAUGGAAACAAUCUAGAAGAUAGCAUGAAAUGUGUCUUUUUCUUAGUCAAUCAAGUUUAGUUGAAUUGUUGAGUAUGCUAGUUACUAGGAGAACCACCACUGCCACUGGCAUUUUAAUUAGUACAUGACAUGCUUUAUGAUUAGGAUUGUUGGAGCAAAACUUUACUGAAAAUACAUAAAUUAACUCUCUCUCUCUCUCUCUCUCUCUCUCUCUCUCUCUCUCUCUCUCUCUCUCUCUCUCUCUCUCUCUCUCUCUCUCUCCUCCAGAUUAACUUUAAUUUUUCUUAUGCAUGCUUCCUUGCUAUAUAUAUCAUUUUUAGAUUAGACUUUACAGAUUAGGAGUGAUUCAAACUCUGUUUCUAGUCAUGGAUAAUGUUUUUUUAUUUUUUAUUUUUAUUUUUGUAAUCUCUCUUUCUCAUGCUUUGUUUACCAUAUUAAGGAAUUCGAUCAGUUGAUAUUUAAUUAUUUGCUUUUAAUAUAUAAUUAAAGGGGUUCUUAGAAUUAAAAACCCACUUUAAGUAACUAAAGACCAUAUAUAUCUCAAUAGUCAUAAUAUGUAAAAGCUUAUCUCAUCAUGAUCACUAGUUAACUGAUCUCAUUUUAUACACACAGGUAAUUCCAAAGUUAUAAGUUGGGUGUCAGGGGAAAGCAUAUAGCAAUUAUGGAGGUUAUGGCUCUACAAUGGGAGGCUACAACUCUAAUUAUGGAUCUGGAAUUACAGAGGAUUCACUGAACAAGUUACUCUUUUUUGCAAAUAUUUUGAUUGGAUCUCAAAAUGUUCAUUCAUGUUAUGUAUUUAAAUAGCCACAAUAUACACAAUAUUUGUAUAACUGAAAUGAUUUUGAGUAUGGGGAUCUAUUCUUGUAUUUGUAUUAGUCAUUUGUAAAUACUUUGAUGGCAUUUAUAGUCAUGAAAAUGUGGUAAAAAUUCUUGUUAAAAGCA